Molecule: transfer RNA, 82 nt
Filed under: Diutina rugosa
Lineage: Eukaryota; Fungi; Ascomycota; Pichiomycetes; Serinales; Debaryomycetaceae
Also listed under: 1 other name
Description: transfer RNA-Ser(GCT)
Rfam family: tRNA
About the family: Transfer RNA (tRNA) molecules are approximately 80 nucleotides in length.
Source: RNAcentral
GGCAACUUGUCCGAGUGGUUAAGGAGCUUCCCUGCUAAGGAAGUGGGCUCUGCCCGCGUGUGUUCGAACCACACAGUUGUCG